GGUGGCUCCGUGGUAGAGCACAUGCCUUGCAUGUAUGAGGACCUGGGUUCCAUUCCUCAGCACCA
RNAcentral lists this transfer RNA (65 nucleotides) under Dipodomys ordii (Ord's kangaroo rat). It matches the Rfam family "tRNA". Rfam says of the family: Transfer RNA (tRNA) molecules are approximately 80 nucleotides in length. Their secondary structure includes four short double-helical elements and three loops (D, anti-codon, and T loops). Further hydrogen bonds mediate the characteristic L-shaped molecular structure. tRNAs have two regions of fundamental functional importance: the anti-codon, which is responsible for specific mRNA codon recognition, and the 3' end, to which the tRNAs corresponding amino acid is attached (by aminoacyl-tRNA synthetases). tRNAs cope with the degeneracy of the genetic code in two manners: having more than one tRNA (with a specific anti-codon) for a particular amino acid; and 'wobble' base-pairing, i.e. permitting non-standard base-pairing at the 3rd anti-codon position. Lineage: Eukaryota; Metazoa; Chordata; Mammalia; Rodentia; Heteromyidae. The record is from Rfam by way of RNAcentral.